RNAcentral lists this ribosomal RNA (254 nucleotides) under uncultured bacterium. Its description in RNAcentral is "partial 16S ribosomal RNA". It matches the Rfam family "Bacterial small subunit ribosomal RNA", at positions 334 to 605 of the family's 1533-position model. The record is from RNAcentral.
GCAUCCUACGGGAGGCAGCAGUGGGGAAUAUUGCACAAUGGGGGAAACCCUGAUGCAGCAACGCCGCGUGAGUGAAGAAGUAUUUCGGUAUGUAAAGCUCUAUCAGCAGGGAAGAAGAUGACGGUACCCGAGUAAGAAGCCCCGGCUAACUACGUGCCAGCAGCCGCGGUAAUACGUAGGGGGCAAGCGUUAUCCGGAUUUACUGGGUGUAAAGGGAGCGUAGACGGUGAGACAAGUCUGAAGGGAAAGCCCGG